Molecule: ribosomal RNA, 279 nt
Filed under: uncultured bacterium
Lineage: Bacteria
Description: partial 16S ribosomal RNA
Rfam family: Bacterial small subunit ribosomal RNA
Source: RNAcentral
UGCCAGCCGCCGCGGUAAUACGUAGGGUGCCAGCGUUGUUCGGAAUUAUUGGGCGUAAAGCGUGCGUAGGCGGACUAUUAAGUCUGGUGUGGAAUCCCUCGGCUCAACCGAGGACCUGCAUUGGAUACUGGUAGUCUUGAGUCCCGGAGAGGAUAGCGGAAUUCCUAGUGUAGAGGUGAAAUUCGUAGAUAUUAGGAGGAACACCAGUGGCGAAAGCGGCGAUCUGGACGGUGACUGACGCUGAGGCACGAAAGCAUAGGUAGCAAACAGGAUUAGAUC